Molecule: RNA transcript, 1433 nt
Organism: Sarcophilus harrisii (Tasmanian devil)
Lineage: Eukaryota; Metazoa; Chordata; Mammalia; Dasyuromorphia; Dasyuridae
Gene name: casein kinase I pseudogene
Exons: 1
Source: RefSeq, a predicted model, not a curated record
GACGGGGCUGGGCCCGCACGCUGCUGCUGCUGCUGCUGCUGCUGCUGCUGCUGCUGCUGCUGCCGCCGCCUCCUCCAGGCCACCCUCAGCCCUAGAGACGGAGCGCCCCGGUCCCUCCUGAUCCCUGCCAACGCCCCCAGCCUCUCCGCCUCUCCGCCUUCCUUCCACCCGCGGACAAUAGCUAUGGCCACUAAGAAAAACUCCAAGAGUUCCGAGUUGGUUUUCGGUGGGAAAUACAAGUUGCUGAAGAAGAUCGGGGCCGGCUCCUUCGGGAAAAUCUACCUGGCGGUCAACGUCUCCAACGGCGAGGAGGUAGCGGUGAAGCUGGAGUCUCAGAAGGCCCGGUCCCCCCGGCUGCUGCACGAGAGCAAGCUCUACAAGGCCCUUCAGGGAGGAGUGGGCAUCCCCCACAUCCGCUGGUAUGGCCGGGAUAAAGGCUACAACGUGCUGGUCAUGGACCUCCUGGGCCCCAGCCUCGAAGACCUCUUCAAUUUCUGCUCCCGCAAGUUCACGAUGAAAACCGUGCUCAUGCUGGCCGACCAGAUGAUCAGUAGACUCGAGUAUGUGCACGCAAAGAACUUCAUACACAGAGACAUCAAACCAGAUAAUUUCCUCAUGGGCACUGGGCGUCAUUCCAAUAAGUUAUUCCUUAUUGACUUUGGUUUGGCCAAAAAGUACCGAGAUACCAAAACCAAGCAGCACAUUCCCUACAGAGAAGAUAAAAACCUCACUGGCACUGCCAGGUACGCCAGCAUCAAUGCACAUCUUGGCAUUGAGCAGAGCCGUGGGGAUGACAUGGAGUCCCUAGGGUACGUGCUCAUGUAUUUUAACAGGACCAGCUUACCCUGGCAAGGACUCAAUGCCGCAACAAAGAAGCAAAAGUACGAGAAGAUAAGCGAGAAGAAAUUGUCCACUUCUGUCGAAACUUUGUGUAGGGGCUUCCCAGCCGAAUUUGCCAUGUAUCUCAACUAUUGCAGGGGUCUACGAUUUGAAGAAGCACCAGAUUAUUUGUACCUGAAACAACUAUUUCGUGCCCUUUUCAAGACUCUGAACCAUCAAUACGAUUAUACAUUUGAUUGGACAGCAAUAAAACAGAACAUGGCCCAGUCAGCAGCCUCAUCUAGUGGGCAGGGUCAGUAGGUCUAAACCCUUAGGGAUUUCUAAGCAUGAAGAGAACAGAUGAAAUAGAGCAGAUCAUUGGAGCAGAAUUUAAAGCUCCCCAAACAUAGAAGUUUAAUUUGUAGGUGCACUUGCCAGUGGUUGUGAGCAACCAUUUACUUCAUGUAAAGAAUUUAAUUUCAGUAUAAACUGGCUCUGGGAAGUUGUAGCCACCCUAAUUGUGAAUAUUAACUGAAAGAAUGAAACAUGGUGUCCAGUUUUUUUGUUUCAUUUUUUUAAGUGGAAAAAAUUAAAUGGUUGACACAAGUGAUGGA